RNAcentral lists this long non-coding RNA (238 nucleotides) under Callithrix jacchus (white-tufted-ear marmoset). RNAcentral describes it as "lncRNA (ENSCJAG00000079426.1)". Lineage: Eukaryota; Metazoa; Chordata; Mammalia; Primates; Cebidae. The record is from RNAcentral.
AGGAAAGGAACAUAUGCCACGAUCUCAGAUUAGAUCCAGAGCUAAUUAUUUGACAAGUGCCAAAGCAAAUCUGCUGACAUCUAAUCUGAUUGGUCUGUGCCUAAGUUCUACAAACUGCAUCUGGUUUAUGUCCUAGUUUUCCUGGGAAAUAUCCAAAAAAGUCUGCAAGAAUAAGUACGUAUCAGGUGAAAGUACUAAGUCCACAAUGUUUUAAGAACAUCUUAUGACAGCUUACCAA